CCACUCUUAGCUCAGUUGGUAGAGCGUGCGGCUGUAAUUUCCCUAAACCGCAAGGUCGCUGGCUCGAAUCCGGCAGAGUGGA
This 82-nucleotide transfer RNA is filed under the name Serendipita indica DSM 11827. RNAcentral's name for it is "Piriformospora indica DSM 11827 tRNA". It matches the Rfam family "tRNA". Rfam says of the family: Transfer RNA (tRNA) molecules are approximately 80 nucleotides in length. Their secondary structure includes four short double-helical elements and three loops (D, anti-codon, and T loops). The record is from Rfam by way of RNAcentral. Lineage: Eukaryota; Fungi; Basidiomycota; Agaricomycetes; Sebacinales; Serendipitaceae.